RNAcentral lists this ribosomal RNA (452 nucleotides) under Cryptosporidium scrofarum. RNAcentral describes it as "SSU rRNA". It matches the Rfam family "Eukaryotic small subunit ribosomal RNA", at positions 379 to 869 of the family's 1831-position model. Lineage: Eukaryota; Apicomplexa; Conoidasida; Eucoccidiorida; Cryptosporidiidae. The record is from RNAcentral.
GAUUCCGGAGAGGGAGCCUGAGAAACGGCUACCACAUCUAAGGAAGGCAGCAGGCGCGCAAAUUACCCAAUCCUAAUAUAGGGAGGUAGUGACAAGAAAUAACAAUACAGAACCUCACGGUUUUGUAAUUGGAAUGAGUUAAGUAUAAACCCCUUAACGAGUAUCAAUUGGAGGGCAAGUCUGGUGCCAGCAGCCGCGGUAAUUCCAGCUCCAAUAGCGUAUAUUAAAGUUGUUGCAGUUAAAAAGCUCGUAGUUGAUUUUCUGUUAAUUUUUAUGUAUAAUAUUGCGAUAUUUACAUAAUAUUAACAUAAUUCACAUUACUUUACAGUAUGUGGAACUUUACUUUGAGAAAAUUAGAGUGCUUAAAGCAGGCUAUUGCCUUGAAUACUCCAGCAUGGAAUAAUAUUAAGGAUUUUUAUUCUUCUUAUUGGUUCUAGAAUAAAAAUAAUGAU